This 871-nucleotide long non-coding RNA is filed under the name Physcomitrium patens. Its description in RNAcentral is "long non-coding RNA (PPAT_LNC008511)". The record is from RNAcentral. Lineage: Eukaryota; Viridiplantae; Streptophyta; Bryopsida; Funariales; Funariaceae.
AGUUCCAGGAUCACUAAAAAAUUCAAUACUGCGUCCACACAACACACACAUACAGUAUCACGAGGAGUUUUGACUCCUGAAGCCAAUGCAGCUUCAAUUGGAAUAUCGUUGAACUGACUCCCGCUACUCUCGGCGUUCAUCGGAUGGUAGAUGCUCUGAAGCGUUCCCUUCAGCUCUCACAAGGCAGACUGCGAUAACUCAUUGAAGCUAUGGUUAGCGGCAAAAUGAAAAGCUGUUUCGCGCUGUGAUUGUCAGAAAUUCGAUAAAACUUUCAGCCUUGUAAAUCCUCACAAAUGACACAGUUCUCGAUUUGAGGCAAGGAAGCUGUAGGAACUUCCAAUGCGUGACGGACAUGGCUUCGAAUUGUAUGCACGAAGGACUUCAUCCCGAAAUUGUCAAGACCGCUUGAGGCCGUCGCAUCCAGCAACUUAGCCUCGCUGCUCUAGCACAGAGCUGAUCGUAUAAUUGUCAGUUAGAAUGUGAAGUCUCAGGAUGCGAAUGAGCUUAGCCAAACCCCUUUGAUGGCUUGUUUAACUCAGCACCAUUGUUUGUUGCACCUGAUGUAAAACAAUUUGAGGACUCUGUGUCAACAUGAAAGUUUCUGCGUUGCGUAGGCAAUCACUUACAACUAGAACCAUGGGAACUGGUUAGGCACCCUGCGUUGCGCACACGGGAGGAUAUUCUACGUGUAUAUCUCCGAGAGACAGAAGACAACCAAUUUGCGCGGAUUUUCGCGUUGCAUGACAUCUUCAACGAUAGUCAGAAAUCUACGGAUGAUUGCGCGGAAUUGCGCACGUCCUCGUAUUUUGGCAAGGGAUGCGUCUUACUUACCGAAAGAAGGCCGAAAGGGCAGGCUUACUCUUCAGAAGAU